CAGUAGCCACGGUAAUACAGAGGGUGCAAGCGUUAAUCGGAUUUACUGGGCGUAAAGCGUGCGUAGGCGGCUUCUUAAGUCGGAUGUGAAAUCCCUGAGCUUAACUUAGGAAUUGCAUUCGAUACUGGGAAGCUAGAGUAUGGGAGAGGAUGGUAGAAUUCCAGGUGUAGCGGUGAAAUUCGUAGAGAUCUGGAGGAAUACCGGUGGCGAAGGCGGCCCCCUGGACAAAGACUGACGCUCAGGUGCGAAAGCGUGGGGAGCAAACAGGAUUAGAUACCCCCGUAGUCCCUGUCUCUUAUAC
This 301-nucleotide ribosomal RNA is filed under the name uncultured bacterium. RNAcentral describes it as "partial 16S ribosomal RNA". It matches the Rfam family "Bacterial small subunit ribosomal RNA", at positions 509 to 807 of the family's 1533-position model. The record is from RNAcentral.